Molecule: non-coding RNA, 256 nt
Organism: Paramuricea clavata
Lineage: Eukaryota; Metazoa; Cnidaria; Anthozoa; Malacalcyonacea; Plexauridae
Source: the annotation of a GenBank genome assembly
GCUAUGGCAGCAGCAGUGCAAGAAGCAAUCCACCUUAGAGCACUAAUGGAAGAUUUUGGUUAUCCUAUAAAAGAACCAACCGAUAUUGGAGAAGAUAAUCAGCGUGUAUCAAGAUGUGUCAUAAUCCAGUAAUGCACAAACGAUCGAAACACAUCGAUACAAAAUUACAUUUCAUCCGAGAAAGAGUUGAAAACGAAGAAGUAGGAAUCCACCACAUCCCAACUGAAGAGAUGACAGCAGACAUUUUAACAAAGUC